UGGGGAAUUUUGCACAAUGGGGGAAACCCUGAUGCAGCGACGCCGCGUGAUUUAGAAGGCCUUCGGGUUGUAAAAAUCUUUUCUAUGGGAAGAAAAUGACAGUACCAUAGGAAUAAGGACCGGCUAAUUACGUGCCAGCAGCCGCGGUAAUACGUAAGGUCCGAGCGUUGUCCGGAAUCAUUGGGCGUAAAGGGUACGUAGGCGGGUAAGCAAGUUAGAAGUGAAAUCCUAUAGCUCAACUAUAGUAAGCUUUUAAAACUGCUCAUCUUGAGGUAUGGAAGGGAGAGUGGAAUUCCUAGUGUAGCGGUGAAAUGCGCAGAUAUUAGGAGGAAUACCGGUGGCGAAGGCGACUUUCUGGCCAUAACCUGACGCUGAGGUACGAAAGAGUGGGUAGCAAACAGG
Molecule: ribosomal RNA, 402 nt
Filed under: bacterium
Lineage: Bacteria
Description: partial 16S ribosomal RNA
Rfam family: Bacterial small subunit ribosomal RNA
Source: RNAcentral